This 1448-nucleotide ribosomal RNA is filed under the name uncultured bacterium. Its description in RNAcentral is "16S ribosomal RNA". It matches the Rfam family "Bacterial small subunit ribosomal RNA". The record is from RNAcentral.
GAUGAACGCUAGCGAUAGGCCUAACACAUGCAAGUCGAGGGGCAGCACAUGAGUAGCAAUACGAUGGUGGCGACCGGCGCACGGGUGAGUAACACGUAUGCAACCUACCUCUAACAGGGGGAUAACCCGUUGAAAGACGGACUAAUACCCCAUAAUACAGGGGCUCCGCAUGGAGAUAUUUGUUAAAGAUUUUAUCGGUUAGAGAUGGGCAUGCGUUCCAUUAGCUAGUUGGUGAGGUAACGGCUCACCAAAGCGACGAUGGAUAGGGGAACUGAGAGGUUUAUCCCCCACACUGGAACUGAGACACGGUCCAGACUCCUACGGGAGGCAGCAGUGAGGAAUAUUGGUCAAUGGAGGCAACUCUGAACCAGCCAAGUCGCGUGAAGGAUGAAGGUCUUAUGGAUUGUAAACUUCUUUUGCAGGGGAAUAAAUAGCGGUACGUGUACCGUUUUGCAUGUACCCUGCGAAUAAGGAUCGGCUAACUCCGUGCCAGCAGCCGCGGUAAUACGGAGGAUCCGAGCGUUAUCCGGAUUUAUUGGGUUUAAAGGGUGCGCAGGCGGGAGAUUAAGUCGGCGGUGAAAUUUUGCAGCUCAACUGUAAAAGUGCCUUCGAUACUGGUUUCCUUGAGUGUGGAUGAAGUAGGCGGAAUUUGUGGUGUAGCGGUGAAAUGCUUAGAUAUCACGAGGAACUCCGAUUGCGCAGGCAGCUUACUAAACCACUACUGACGCUCAGGCACGAAGGCGUGGGGAUCAAACAGGAUUAGAUACCCUGGUAGUCCACGCAGUAAACGAUGAUUACUGGCUGUUUGCGAUACAAUGUAAGCGGCUGAGCGAAAGCGUUAAGUAAUCCACCUGGGGAGUACGUUCGCAAGAAUGAAACUCAAAGGAAUUGACGGGGGCCCGCACAAGCGGAGGAACAUGUGGUUUAAUUCGAUGAUACGCGAGGAACCUUACCCGGGCUUGAAUUGCAGAGGAACAUAGUUGAAAGAUUAUGGCCGCAAGGUCUCUGUGAAGGUGCUGCAUGGUUGUCGUCAGCUCGUGCCGUGAGGUGUCGGCUUAAGUGCCAUAACGAGCGCAACCCUUAUCAUUAGUUACUAACAGGUCAUGCUGAGGACUCUAGUGAGACUGCCGUCGUAAGAUGUGAGGAAGGUGGGGAUGACGUCAAAUCAGCACGGCCCUUACGUCCGGGGCUACACACGUGUUACAAUGGGGGGUACAGAGGGCAGCUACCGGGCGACCGGAUGCCAAUCCCAAAAACCUCUCUCAGUUCGGAUCGAAGUCUGCAACCCGACUUCGUGAGGCUGGAUUCGCUAGUAAUCGCGCAUCAGCCAUGGCGCGGUGAAUACGUUCCCGGGCCUUGUACACACCGCCCGUCAAGCCAUGAAAGCCGGGGGUACCUGAAGUACGUAACCGCAAGGAGCGUCCUAGGGUAAAACUGGUAAUUGGGGC